AUCGGUGGAUUUCGCCGGCUGUCGGGAGGGAACCAAGGGCAUCGGCGUUGGAUCAGGCCAGCAUCGAUUGUUUGGAGGAGGUGGUUCUUUCUGGGAAGCAGAGACUGGUAUUUUGGUCCCGGCCACCACAACUCUGUUGGAUCGAUCUCUUCUUCGUAUCAGUGAUCGUCUCCGGUGAUUGAAGGGUGCAGAGAGGAUGCGAUGUGCUUAUUUUAGAUACUGGAUUGGGAAGUGCAGAGAAUCAAGCAAGGGUCAAGGAGUUGCUUCAUGUGGAGGAAUCAAAACUAGAGGAGGAUGAGGGAAAUACCACUCCAGCAGUGAGAUGGGUUCGAGAUGAUAAAUAUGAUUGCAUCCGAUUAAAGCAUUGCAAGGUUGUGACAAAAAUUGAUUGGCAUCGGAAAGGAGACUAUUUCACUACUGUCGUUCCUAGUGAUAUCCUAAUUAUGAAUUUUAGUUGUACUUAUUUUUAGUCAUUCCUAGUGCCUAUUUUAUAUCUCAGUUUUGUUUCUUUCUUUUUUCUAAUACACACUGACAAAUUGGAAAUAUAUAAAAAUCAUGACAUUAUACCUAGUUACCUAGCCUUUGAGGCUGGAAUCAGGAUGAAACCUAAAGUGCCCUGAAAAGUUUAGGCAUACCAAAUUCUCUCAGUUUAAUGACAGAGGUCAGUUGUGUUGCAAACUUUGUUAUUUUCCUUGUUUUUCAUUUACCGCGUCUAGAUUAAGAAACUAUGGCUUUCUAACUCAAAUAAAAAUUGCAAUUCCUGCCUAUCUUAGACCUAACAUUAACUUAUUAA
Zingiber officinale is the source of this 793-nucleotide long non-coding RNA. RefSeq lists it as uncharacterized. The record is from RefSeq and is a predicted model, not a curated record. The transcript has 5 exons. NCBI's taxonomy places the organism in Eukaryota, Viridiplantae, Streptophyta, Magnoliopsida, Zingiberales, Zingiberaceae.